AUAGGAAUGCUUAGUGGCGGACUGGUGAGUAACGCGUGAGGAACCUGCCCUAGAGUGGGGGACAACAGUUGGAAACGACUGCUAAUACCGCAUAAGCCCACGGUACCGCAUGGCCCAUGGAAGAAAAGGUGGCCUCUACCUGUAAGCUAUCGCCUGAAGAGGGGUUUGCGUCUGAUUAGCUGGUUGGAGGGGUAACGGCCCACCAAGGCGACGAUCAGUAGCCGGUCUGAGAGGAUGAACGGCCACACUGGAACUGAGACACGGUCCAGACUCC
RNAcentral lists this ribosomal RNA (274 nucleotides) under uncultured Dialister sp. RNAcentral's name for it is "partial 16S ribosomal RNA". It matches the Rfam family "Bacterial small subunit ribosomal RNA", at positions 82 to 339 of the family's 1533-position model. The record is from RNAcentral. Lineage: Bacteria; Bacillati; Bacillota; Negativicutes; Veillonellales; Veillonellaceae.